CUACUUCUAUUUACCCCUUUGUGGCUUUUUUCGUGCUUUCACUAUCCUUAUCUGCCAAUAAUUUGGAGAGUUCACUUCUUUUUUUUUCCGCGCGCUUAUAGGUUCAAGCUUUUGGCCGCGCAAGGGUUUGGGCACGAGAGAGUCCAAUAAUUGUUUUUUUGGAUGCAAGUUCGAUCCAAAAAAACAAUUAUUGGACGCUGAUGACGUCAUCGGCGGAAAAUAUGUAAUAAAUGCCGAAUACUGAAAAUUAGCCGGUGCUUUCUGACCAAUUAGAAACGAGAAUACA
Non-coding RNA from Paramuricea clavata, 286 nucleotides. NCBI's taxonomy places the organism in Eukaryota, Metazoa, Cnidaria, Anthozoa, Malacalcyonacea, Plexauridae. The record is from the annotation of a GenBank genome assembly.